This 388-nucleotide ribosomal RNA is filed under the name uncultured bacterium. Its description in RNAcentral is "bacterial SSU rRNA". It matches the Rfam family "Bacterial small subunit ribosomal RNA", at positions 28 to 417 of the family's 1533-position model. The record is from RNAcentral.
GACGAACGCUGGCGGCGUGCUUAACACAUGCAAGUCGAGCGGUAAGGCCCUUUCGGGGGUACACGAGCGGCGAACGGGUGAGUAACACGUGGGUGACCUGCCCUCAGCUCUGGGGUAAGCCUGGGAAACCGGGUCUAAUACUGGAUAUGACUCCAUGACGCAUGUUGUGGGGUGGAAAGCCUUGUGCGGCUGAGGAUGGGCCCGCGGCCUAUCAGCUUGUUGGUGGGGUGANGGCCUACCAAGGCGACGACGGGUAGCCGGCCUGAGAGGGCGACCGGCCACACUGGGACUGAGACACGGCCCAGACUCCUACGGGAGGCAGCAGUGGGGAAUCUUGCGCAAUGGGCGAAAGCCUGACGCAGCGACGCCGCGUGAGGGAUGACGGCCU